RNAcentral lists this ribosomal RNA (366 nucleotides) under uncultured bacterium. RNAcentral describes it as "bacterial SSU rRNA". It matches the Rfam family "Bacterial small subunit ribosomal RNA", at positions 773 to 1133 of the family's 1533-position model. The record is from RNAcentral.
AGGGAAUAGAUACCCAGGUAGUCCACGCUGUAAACGAUGGGUACUAGGUUUGGUGGGUCUUGACCCCCGCCGAAACCGGCGCUAAACGCACUAAAGUACCCCGCCUGGGAAGUACGGUCGCAAGACUAAAACUCAAAGGAAUUGACGGGGCCCGCACAAGCGGUGGAUCAUGUGGUUUAAUUCGAAGCAACGCGAAGAACCUUACCUGGAUUUGACAUCCUCUGACAACCCUAGAGAUAGGGCUUCUGUAGCAAUACAGCAGAGAGACAGGUGCUGCAUGGCUGUCGUCAGCUCGUGUGGUGACAUGUUGGGUUAAGUCCCGCAACGAGCGCAACCCUUGUCCUUAGUUGCCAGCAUUCGUAGGUU